GGAAGAAUACCUAGGGAUAGCUGCCAAGUUUCUGCUUGUGUUCCAUUUUAAGGUUCAGAGAAUGAAAGAAGUAGGUGUGAACACUGCAACAUCAUAUGCUUUGAUGGAGUUCAUGAACUUAAUGUGUGCAUUUAAGAUGUGCAAGGAGACACAGCUACCCAGGACACAAAGCUUGUUUCAUGCUCAGUGGGCAAUCAGCCUACAAGAAGAGCUAAGAAAGGGUCAUGGCUCAGGCCCAGCCCCUCUGGGGACCAAGGUACCCAGUGACAUGACUGGUUCAGUGCCUGUGCCACACAGCAUUCAGAGCUGUGAGAGUGGAGAAGGCUCUACCACUUUCUUCAGAAAACUUCUCGCAACAUCCCAUUAUGAAGGGUGAAUUGGUGCCCAACCAUACUCAGGAGAACAUCUGGAGAAGAUAGAACAGGGAUGGUGCAGAUUCAGCUUGCAGAUUCUGCUGGCAGAAAUAACAGAUAAGAAAACAGUUAUCAAACAGAAGUCUGUUCUUCUACCCCUGCCCCCUUUGUGUGGAGAAAUAGGAGAAAGCAGGGUAAGAAAAACACUCCUUGGAGAGAAAAACUCUUCCAAAUUUACUUUAAUUUUGCUAAGCGGGCACUGUUGUUAUUGAAAGCUGCUUGCCUAGAAGAACAACUGCUCUUGAGAACUCUUGAGAGCAUGUGAAGAAAUCUGGAGUUGAUUUGUGUAAGAGGGAGGAACAAUCUGUUUCACUUCACCAGCAUCGUGCAGUUUCGAUGUUACAACAUCCACUUGUUAGAGAAGCUCUGUACAAAAGCUAAUGUUUCUUCAUGGCUAGAGGUGGGCUGAGGUUCCUUCAUCAGUUAAUUUCUGAAUGUUGGGUGUCUGAAGAACACUUCUGGAAACCAGAUUUGCAGGAGGGGAGAGCAAAAUACUUCAUGUUUCAGAAGAACCUAGACAGAUUUUUCCAAAUGCGUCUCUACUUGUUUGUCAUUCACACUGACGUAUGGACCCCCUUCCCUCCCCUCUUUUUGGUAAAGUGACAGUGAGAUUCAGAUGCCUAUACGAGAGCUUGCAGCAGCUGUUUUGGAUGUCCUCAAGAUGUAAGAAGGUCCCAGCAGAGCAGGCCGAUGUGAUGGAGGAUGAAAGAAAAUUGACCUUCUGGAGAUUUGAUUGGGCACCAAGCAGGACAACAUGAGGCAAGUGAAUCCUAACCUUUAUUGUGUUCAUAUUCUCCUAAUGAAAAAAUGCUGUAAUUCAGCAUUAAUAAUAAGAUACAGCAUUAGCUAAACAAGAUCAUACGAUCUUGUGUGAAGCAACUGUACCUCAAAAUCAGCUCUAGUGACAGUCAAAGUGGGACUUACAAUACACCAGUCUACAACUUCCAACAAAGGUGGCACAAGCCUUGCGAUACUUCCUGUAUCUGCGAGGAGAUCUCAAAUCCAUCCAUACAAGGUACAGUGGCACUGUUAUACUUGGCUUUCAUCCUAGCAACUUGAAACACUUCAUUACAAAAUGUUUCACAGCUUCUGAAGAGUAUAAAACACUGAAAUGAGCUAUCGGGCAUAUUUUAUCUACUACUGGCUGGUAUAUUCCAGGAAAGACCUCUUAUUCUCGAUAGUGGGUAGAAGCAGCAAAUGGGAGAGAGUAAAGCAUCUGCAUACAAAAGGCAGUUUAAACUUCCUAAAGUGGGGAGAAAAAAAAAACACAAAAAUAUGAUGAGAUUGAAAACUUUCUUUUUUUUUAAUGCAAUAGUAGCUAUGAAUAGAUAAAGCAGCCUGCAAGCUUCUGACCAUACUGUAUCACGGGAGGAUAACUGCCUUGCAUGGGAAAUCAAUGAUGCUGUAGCACUGCACUUUUGCUUUGGAGGAACACUGCUGGAAGCACCUAAGAUUCAUAUUGCUCACUGCCUUUCUUUCCUCACUCCAGAUAUGUCUCUUAAUUUUCCACCACUAGGUAAAUAAUAAAGGACCUGCAUAUAACAGAGAUUUAAUAAAUAGCAAAGAUGUGGGAUAUAUGAAAGAUUGAGUGCAAAAAAAAAAAAGAUUCUGGAUCUGUUCAAUUAGUUUGAUUAUAUUUUAUUAGAAAGCUCAGCCAAUACAAAUGAUUCUUGUUCACUACCAGCCAGUUUAAAGUGUGGUGUUUCAUUGUAAUUCAUAUAGAUGUUUUCUGUCCAGUUAAAUAUAAACUCCUUGGGUAAGUACUGCUACUUUUCGUGUAUUGAAUGUUAAGAAGCAUAAGCAGCACCAGCAAUGCUUCAGUGUAAGUCAAUAUACAUACACGUUUACAUUUCAGACAUUAAAAGGAAAAAUUAAAUUAAUGUACCAGUUGCAUUUUAAGCUCUACUUGCUUUUAGUAGUAAUUGAGAUGAAUGGUUAAUUUAAAUCUAUUUCCAAAGUUAAGGCUGAAAGCAUUUCAUUUAUAUUCAACAAUAACCAACAUAGUAUGGCAUUUUACCAAAACAUGGGACACCUCAAAAACAGAAGACUUAUUCGAUUUCUUGUUGACAGAAUUGACAGCUCUUUGCUACUGUUGUUGCCAAAAUGAAUAUGCUAAUUUACUUUUUAAUUCUGUAGCAAGUGUGAAAAUACUCCACUGUGAAAAAUAAAAAUACUUUUUUAUUAUGUAUCUUAAACGGAAAUGUCUUCGAACAUUGUAUUUUUAGUUAUACAUAGUGAAUAAAAAAGCUGCUGGUGGCAGUAUUUUUAAGUAGCUGACUUCAUCACUUAAUUAAAUGCAGAACAGUAUUCUGGAUAAGUUUAAAGUAGAUAGCUAACGUAAAUCAGAUGAUAAAACUGGCGUGCAUGAAACAAAUAAUGGCUAAGGCAUCUUAAUAUUCUCAAUUUCUAUAUAUCUUAUUGUAAUCUUAACUUGAGCAUGUGUUAAAUGCACAGACAUAUUCAGCAAUGGUCUUCUCGGAGCCUCCACAGAGCUAGGCAGCACAUAGUCACCACUGCUCUCACUUCUGUAAUCCGCAGCACAGGCAGGCUACGUGUUGUUUUCAUAUAGGAGUUCUCCAGAAGAGACAAACCAGAAGCCAUUUGAAAUUCUGCCCUACUGAAACCUGCAGUUGUAUUGCUACCGUAGUACUUCUGUGGCUUUAUGGAUGGAAAACAGAAUACGUACCACUCUGACUAAACCUAUGGGACUGGAAACAUUAGAAGUGCACAUGCUGUAUUUCAAGAGAGUCUUUUUCUUUUAAUGAACAAGUACGAAUAUUGAUUACCCAAACAGCAAAAUGUACAAAACAAUGCAUGUGUUUGCAAGUUAGAAGAUAGAGGAAAGUUUAUGAGGUUAGAGGUAAAAAAAUACUUUUUAAAUGUGUAUGACUCAAAUAUAUUCUGUGAAAAUUGUAUUUUUCACUGUAGCUUUUAAAUUUAAGUGCUGUUAAGAACAAGAAACAAAAUAGAUAAAUUUUAUGUUCAAUAUAUCUCAAUUUUGUCUUCUCUACAUAAUUGUUGGUAAUAUUUUUUCUAUGCUGAGAUUUCUUUCUUUCCCUCUUUCUUCCUGUUUUCUGCCAGAAGUGGCAUAUGAGAAACAUCAUUUUCAUCUUGCACUGAAGAACGUGAAAUGAAGCCAGUGCAAACCCUACUUCUCUAGAAGGUUCUAGUUCACUAUAGAGGUUUUUUCAGGAGCCUGGCAGAACUAUCACUCUCUCUAGGUACAGAUAUCUUUGCUCAGUGCUAGAACUUUCAUCUUUUCUGAAUAAAAGUCCAUGUAUCAGGACAUAAAGAAGCAGUAUGUACAGACACUGCACAUCAGUGGAAAUUACCUACUUAAAGUAAAAUAUAGUAGGUCAUCUGUGGUAAUAUUGAACACUGAUGGAACACACCCUACAAUGUACUGAUGUGUAUCUUUGUCGUGCAUAACUAUGACUAUUUGGUACUCACAGGGAAGCCAAACACAGGGAAUAGCCAUCCCUUCACUAACUACUGAGAGUUAAAUGAAAUGAUUAAUACUUAACAAAACAGUUCCAUAGAUAGGUACACCUGGCAUAGAGAGUAGAUAGGUAAGUUUUUAGCAUGAACAUUUAAAGAACUUGAAGUGGUCAUUGGAACAAACUCACAUACGCGCUACUAUGGCUUCUGUUUGAAAAGUUAGCUGUCAGUAUGGCUUAACAUCAAAGGAAAUAGCUUUUCAACAGUUGUCAAGCAUCACAGACUCUGAAUAUUGUUGAUGUUCUUGAUAUUUUCAGUCUGGCUCUAGACAUUACUCUGUUCAUAUUUUAGUCACCUUGGAGAGAUGAAUGAAUUUCAGUUAUCCAUCUGGUAGUGGCCUCAUCUACUGCAUCACAGUUACAGCUGCUACUGUCUUGUACACUGUGAAUGAAUCGACAACAGUCCUGGAGUAGUAUUUUUCCUCGGAUGACUGUAAGGGGUAAGGGAAGAACUGCUUCCUUUCCUGAAGAAGGGUAAUAUAGCACGUUGUUGCCUUCCCGUUAUAGAAAGCAUUUCAGGAAGCUGAUGACAUCCAACUGUAUAUGCCUACGAUUAUGUCAACAGAGAUGCUUUAACUAAAAGAAUGUUUCCCAGUAGUCAUCAGCCUUCAGCACUCCUACUUCCCAAGCUGCUAUCAGAUAUGAACACUAUAGCAGCAAUUGAAUUUGCUUUUUACGAUCAGUGCAAGGCCUUUAUUGCUGUAGACAGACUGCUGCUGGCAUUAUCAUAUUUUUUCUUAUUUCAAGAUUAGAUUAAUGCAAUAAAACUUCACCUUUAAAAAUAAGCUGCCGGAGAAUACUACAGUUUAUAUGACAUGAGAAAGACUACCUAGAUAAAAUGCAGGAAUUAAAGAUAAGGACCUCUACUCGUGUUCAGACAGAAACUAAUGAGUUAUGUAGUUACCCGAAGAACCUUGACAAGUCAUAGGACCUGUUCAGUGUCCAACAAACAAACUAAAACAACAACAAACAUGCCUGCCCCCACCACUACUAUACAAUCUCCCUCCCAACCCACAAGCCCUAUUUACCCAGCCCUGCCCCCUCUCUAUUUCUUCCCUCCUGGGAAACUCCAAAGUUCAAUCCAAAGCAGGAGUAUUUCUGCUUCCUCGGUAGAUGAGGUUGCAGGCAGGCCAGUCUUCUUGGGAGCUAUACCUUCACUUAGCUCUUGAAGCAGAACUAAUUCAACCUUCAUCUCCGAUGCAUUCUUAAUCCCCCUUUCCUGGUAGUGUAGGAAGGUGGAGGAAGAUAGAACACAAGGUAUGCAGAAAGGCUUUUAUGUAGAUUUUCUGUUUUUGCAGGAUAGUUGAUGAAGAAAGAUGUCAUACUGAUUUACUUAUUUAAAACUAAUGGUGCGUUAUCUACAUUUUGUCACAGCAUUCAGCUUUUCCAAGGGCAUUCUUCCAAUGAUUUAAAUUCAGACUUCAGGCACUCAUGACAAAAUAAAAGAUGAGAGGUAUUCCCUAAGUCAUUUAUCCUUAAUUACGCAGGCAGCCUCAGCAUGUAGCUCUGCCUCCAUUUUUGUACCGUUCAGAUUAGAAAAACAAUUCAGAUUAAGGCAUGGCAAAGCAGAGCUUGAAUUUGCAUUGAAAUGCACGAGUGAGUCCAGUAACUGCUGGUGUGCAACAUCUUAUUCACCAGUAAAUAAAUGGAAAAUAGCUUAGUAUAAGAUGUAUUGUUCUGAGUAGGCAAGACAACGGACAUUUAUUUCAUAUCUCCUGUUGGUAUUUCUUACCUUAUAUUGUGUGCUCGCUUCAUCUGCUCAUAUCCAAGCAGUGGAAGCACUUUAUGUGCAGGAAGCAAUAAUGAAGCGGUAUGGGACAGCUGUACCGAAUCUUCUGAAAAAAAAAAGUCUCCAUAUGCUAUUUUUAGUGUCAGAAUUGGUAGUCCAAAAUAAUCCCUCUGACAUUAUCUAAGUUCACCUAAUUGUAAGACACAGCCUGCAGUCUGACACAGGCGGCCUCAAUCAGAUCAGAGCAUUCAGUGAGCAGUUUUCCCACUCGCUGGUCAAAAACUAGCAGAUCAAUGAAGGGCUAUAAAAAUGCACCACCCUUCAGGCUGGUCCGUAAUAAGCAGAAGAGGACGACAGUUUAGGUCGGCACGUAAGGUUUGGUUUUGCUCAUCGGGCUUUUAAAACAAGAGAGGAAUGGAGCAAACACAACCUUGUUAUUAAAUGGAAGCAGCACUGUGUCACCAUCCAUAGCCACGCUGCAGGGUGCUGCAACAGAGGGACCAGCGACCCACGUUUAAAGAAAGCAAAACAAAACAGUAGCCUGCGAAGCUGCUACUCUCUUUGAUAAUAGAGGUGAUAACAAAAAAAAAAAAAAAAAACGACGGAAGCAAUAAAAGUCUUAUCUUACAAAAACCAUUAAAUUUUACUUUACAUAAAGCAAACCCGGAAGUGCAAUACAAAUUAUUGUGUCUGGAUAAAGAGUUGUACGUGUUUAAAUGAGAACGAUCCAACAGACGCUGGAAGGACAGCAGACACCCAAGGCACUCUCACUACGAUGGGAACUACGCUUUCUCUGCAUUCUCGCCCACGCUUUGUGUCGAGAAGCGGGACAGCAGCUCGGCAACACCCAGUAACGCCGCACACCAGUCAGGAAGGCAUCGCGGCGCUGCUUUCGGUGCUGGAAGCACUAUUCACCCUGACUUAACCCAGCGCUUUCAUCUUCUUCAAAUGCCGCGCAGCACGCGUGGAAAUAACAGGCGAAUUCUUUGGGAGUUCCAAGCGGUACGUCCGCUUUUACGCUCCUAGCAGAACCGACUGUUUCCAGCCAGCUAAACGAAGCGUGAAGCGGUUUUUACUGCGCUUUAUGACCGCUUACUGCACGCCGCCUCAUCGCCUCAGCGACGGCCUCGCAGGGAAGCGGCGCGCGAAGAGCCGCGCAGAGCCCCGCGUCCCGCCGCCCGCCCGCCAGAAGCGGAGAUGCCGGGGUCCCUCUGCGGCCCCCGACGCCGCAGGCGGACGUUAAACGGCUCCCAACGGCGAGAGGACGGCGGCCCGGCUGAGGAGCCGGAGAGGAGGGUGGCUCGCUGCAGCCCCUUCUCCGCGCCCUUUACCCCGAGGCCGAGAGUCCCCACGCGCCGUCCCGUACCUCAGCCCGCGCCGCUCCCCGCUCCAGUCGCGCGGCCGCUUUAAGGAUUACAAAUCGCUCCUCGCGCCGCGCCGCCGCGCGCACCGUUGCCCCCCCCCCUUCCCC
This is a long non-coding RNA of Gallus gallus (chicken), 7110 nucleotides long. The record is from Ensembl. Lineage: Eukaryota; Metazoa; Chordata; Aves; Galliformes; Phasianidae.